CAGCAGCCGCGGGAAAACGGAGGGUGCAAGCGUUAAUCGGAAUUACUGGGCGUAAAGCGUGCGUAGGUGGUGGUUUAAGUCCGUUGUGAAAGCCCUGGGCUCAACCUGGGAAUUGCAGUGGAUACUGGGUCACUAGAGUGUGGUAGAGGAUAGUGGAAUUUCCGGUGUAGCAGUGAAAUGCGUAGAGAUCGGAAGGAACAUCUGUGGCGAAGGCGACUAUCUGGGCCAACACUGACACUGAGGCACGAAAGCGUGGGGAGCAAACAGGAUUAGAUACCCGCGUAGUCCCUGUCUCUUAUAC
Molecule: ribosomal RNA, 301 nt
Filed under: uncultured bacterium
Lineage: Bacteria
Description: partial 16S ribosomal RNA
Rfam family: Bacterial small subunit ribosomal RNA
Source: RNAcentral